GACUAACGCUGGCGGCGUGCCUAACACAUGCAAGUCGAACGAAGCAGCAAUGCUUAGUGGCAGACGGGUGAGUAACGCGUAGAUAAUGUGCCCUCUUGCGGGGGAUACCGUUUCGAAAGGAACGUUAAUACCGCAUAAAGUCCUUAGGAGGCAUCUCUUAGGGACCAAACUUCCGGGGCGGGAGGAGCAAUCUGCGUACUAUCAGCUAGUUGGUGAGGUAAUGGCUCACCAAGGCUACGACGGUUAACUGGUCUGAGAGGAUGAUCAGUCACACUGGAACUGAGACACGGUCCAGACUCCUACGGGAGGCAGCAGUGAGGAAUAUUGCACAAUGGGCGAAAGCCUGAUGCAGCGACGCCGCGUGGAGGAUGAAGGAUUUCGGUCUGUAAACUCCUGUCAGUAGGGAAGAGAAUGGACGGUACCUACUGAGGAAGCUUCGGCUAACUACGUGCCAGCAGCCGCGGU
RNAcentral lists this ribosomal RNA (465 nucleotides) under uncultured bacterium. Its description in RNAcentral is "bacterial SSU rRNA". It matches the Rfam family "Bacterial small subunit ribosomal RNA", at positions 28 to 521 of the family's 1533-position model. The record is from RNAcentral.